GGAGGCCUAGCUUGCUAGGUGUCCUUAGUGGCGCACGGGUGAGUACACGUGGGUACAUACCUCAUAGUACGGAAUAACUGCGGGAAACUGUAGCUAAUACCGUAUAUUCCAGUAAUGGGAAAGAUUUAUCGCUAUGAGAUUGGCCCGCGCAAGAUUAGCUUGUUGGUGAGGUAAUGGCUCACCAAGGCUCCGAUCUUUAGCUGGUUUGAGAGGACGAUCAGCCACACUGGGACUGAGACACGGCCCAGACUCCUACGGGAGGCAGCAGUAGGGAAUAUUGGACAAUGGGGGAAACCCUGAUCCAGCAAUGCAGCGUGAGUGACGAAGGCCUUAGGGUUGUAAAACUCUUUCAUCGGUGAGGAUAAUGACAGUAGCCGAAGAAGAAGGACCGGCUAAUUCCGUGCCAGCAGCCGCGGUAAUACGGAAGGUCCUAGCGUUGUUCGGAAUUACUGGGCGUAAAGCGCAUGUAGGCGGAACAAAAAGUUAGAAGUGAAAUCCCUGGGCUCAACCUAGGAAUUGCUUUUAAAACUUUUGUUCUGGAAUUCAGGAGAGGAAAAUGGAAUUUCCAGUGUAGAGGUGAAAUUCGUAGAUAUAGGAAGGAACACCAGUGGCGAAGGCGAUUUCUGGACUGAUAUUGACGCUGAGAUGCGAAGGCCUGGGUAGCACACGGGAUUAGAUCCCCGG
RNAcentral lists this ribosomal RNA (684 nucleotides) under uncultured Alphaproteobacteria bacterium. Its description in RNAcentral is "bacterial SSU rRNA". It matches the Rfam family "Bacterial small subunit ribosomal RNA", at positions 69 to 790 of the family's 1533-position model. The record is from RNAcentral. Lineage: Bacteria; Pseudomonadati; Pseudomonadota; Alphaproteobacteria.